Molecule: ribosomal RNA, 497 nt
Filed under: uncultured bacterium
Lineage: Bacteria
Description: partial 16S ribosomal RNA
Rfam family: Bacterial small subunit ribosomal RNA
Source: RNAcentral
GAUGAACGCUGGCGGCGUGCCUAAUACAUGCAAGUCGAGCGCAUGGCCGAAAGGCUUUCUUCUCUUCUGUUAACUGCCGACGGGUUGGUAAACCGUUGAUCACCUUCCUAUAAGACUGGGAUAACUUCGUGAAACCAGAGCUUAUACCGGAUUAUAUUUUAAUCUGCCUUGUUACAAAGUUAAAAACGGCCUUGCUGUCACUUAUAGAUGGAUCCGCGCUGCAUUAGCUAGUUGGUGAGGUAACGGCUUACCAAGACAACGAUGCAUAGCCGACCUGAGAGGGUGAUCGGCCACAUUGGAACUGAGACACGGUCCAGACUCCUACGGGAGGCAGCAGUAGGGAAUCUUCCGCAAUGGGCGAAAGCCUGAUGGAGCAACGCCGCGUGAGUGAUGAAGGUCUUCGGAUCGUAAAACUCUGUUAUAAGGGAAGAACAGAUGGGAAAGGAAAUGUGCACAGCUUGACGGUACCAAAUCAGAAAGCGACGGCUAAAUACGUG